This is a long non-coding RNA of Eupeodes corollae, 1566 nucleotides long. RefSeq lists it as uncharacterized. The transcript is spliced from 2 exons. The record is from RefSeq and is a predicted model, not a curated record. NCBI's taxonomy places the organism in Eukaryota, Metazoa, Arthropoda, Insecta, Diptera, Syrphidae.
CGGACGGGGCGACGACGAUCAAACGAUGGCAACGAUGACGGCGACGACAACGGACAGACGUUUCGUCUCAAACAAAACGAUUGAAGUAGUAAAUAAUUUAUAUACGAAUCAAUUAAACUUCUAUUCAAAGCAAAUAUGCAGCUGAUUUAAAGCUUUUUUGAAUUUUAAUUGAAUUUGUUUUUCUUUUAAUAUUGAUAUUGAUUCAGUACCAAAUCUGCUCUCUGAAUUGUUUUGGCCCGUUGCGUUGCCAACGUUGCAAAACUACGAUUUAAACUAAAUUAGAAGUAGGUAGGUUGGUAGUAUUCCAAUGGUGAUGGUAAUGUACCUACUUGUUUGGGAUUUAUACGCACAGUAAAUGCGAAGUAUAAAGUAUCUUCUCCUUGGAUUUAGUUGGAUUCCCAAUCCGAUUCUUGUUGAGGUGUGAUCGUCAUCGUCGUAGUCGUAGUCGUAGUCGUCGUCGCAUCGCUGUCGACGACGUUCGUAGUCGAAUCGAUUGAAGUCGUGAGAUUGAGGUGAAUAUCUCUUGGUUUCGGGGUGAAUUGAAAAAAACACCUAGACUGCGGGUAUAGAUUAAACCUAUGUGGCGAUAUAAUUGCAGACGGACAUACGAACGGACGCGACGGUGUGUUGUAUUGCUUCAGCUGUAGCUAUAACUGCAGGUACGUGUGCAGUGAAAAAGUGGUCCCCAGUCAAAUAUAAAGAAUGAUUAAUAUGUUUCUACGGGCAUUCUAAACACAACCAACCUGCAGUCGAUUGAAUAAUGGCUAAAGGAAAGACACAUACGGAAAACACCGCAGUUAAGAAAUCUACAGAUGAUGAUAAAUAGCGAUGCGAAACAUGGUUUUCCAUCUGCCUCGUUUUGUUUUAAUAAAUAUUUUAGGUACAUUUAAUGUAUUUUAUUAAAUGUAUUGCAAAUCAAGUUUUUAUCUCUUUAUUUAUUUUCAAUCCAACUUAAAGAUGGAUUGAUUUCAAUUUCGAGUGCACAAAGUAAAGGAUCGAUCGUAAGGGCUGAAGAUUUGAUUUGCAAAAAGGUAUCGAGAGAUACUCAACUCAACAUUGAUCUGGUGUGCGAGAUCAAAAACUAGUUUGACACGCCUUACCUGAUGGUCAGUCAGUCAAUACAAGAAAUAAUAAAAGCACAAAAAAUGCAAUAAAAUGAAAAUAAAAAUAAAAAAAAUCGUAUGUGGUUUACUUGCGUGCAAAGAGUUUUAGUAGACGGCAAAAAAAGCAAAUACAAAUAAAAAUAAAACAAAUCAAAGAAGUUGAAUUUGUGAAACUUCGAUAUGUCCAUUAGUGUAAUACAGUAAUGUUCCACUAAUCGGAUUCACCAAUCAUUUCGCAAUUUUCUAAUAAAUAACUCAAGGUUCAGACGUGAAUGAAAAAAAAAACAAAGAAAUAAAAAUACUUAGUUGAAAAUUGUGGUACAAAAAUAAAUAUAAGUAACGAUGGAUGCCACGGUCAUCUCGUUGGACAAGCAUCUUGUCUCAUGUAGAAAACAGACUAGCUUGGCAGACAUUACUAUUUAUUUAAAAUUUAAAUAAAUUUAAAUAAUUAUUAAAAAUAGCA